UGUAGUCCAAACUAUAAACUAUGCGGAUUGAGGAUUGGGAUUGUUUGUAUUGGCCUCGCGGCCAUUAUAUUUGACGAUGUCAGGACUCCAAGAGAAAUCUUUGAGUAUUUGCGUUCCAGGGGGAGUACGAUCGCAAGAUUGAAACUUGAAGGAAUUGACGGAAGGGCACCCAAGAGGUGGAGCUUGCGGCUUAAUUCAACUCAACACGGGAAAACUUACCAGCGCAAAACAAAUAUAGGAUUGACAGAUUGAGAGCUCUUUCUUGAUUAUUUGAGUGGUGGUGCAUGGCCGUUUCUAGUUGGUGGAGUGAUUUGUCUGCUUAAUUGCGAUAACGAACGAGACCUUUGCGGGGGGUUGGGGACAGUUUCCGUAGUUAUACGGAAGGAUGUUCCGUUCUACCCGGAUUAUUGUCGUUACAAGAUAAAUGAAACGAAAGGCUACAACAGGUCUCUAUGCCCUUAGAUGUGCUGGGCCGCACGCGCGCUACAAUGAAAGGGAUCAGGAAGUAAUCGACCUUUUUUGAUAAAAAUGGGAAAUCUUUUAAAUCCUUUCGUGGUUUGGGAUUAAUUAUUGCAAUUAUUAAUUAUGAACAUGGAAUCUCUAGUAAGGGUAGGUCAUCAGCCUAACCUGACUACGUCCCUGCCUUUUGUACACACCGCCCGUCGCUCCUACCGAUGGAUGAGGAUGACAAGGGGAGGGAAUUUUGGUGAGGAAAUUUUUUCCGAAACAAGAUGAACUCUUCUGAUUGGACUUAUCUAGAGGAAGGAGAAGUCGUAACAAGGUAUCUGUAGGUGAACCUGCAGAAGGAUCA
Molecule: ribosomal RNA, 811 nt
Filed under: uncultured eukaryote
Lineage: Eukaryota
Description: bacterial SSU rRNA
Rfam family: Eukaryotic small subunit ribosomal RNA
Source: RNAcentral